GGAGGGUUGGCUGAGUGGUCUAAAGCGCCGCACUCGAAAUGCGGUUGGGGGCAACCCCUCACAGGUUCAAAUCCUGUACCCUCCG
This 85-nucleotide transfer RNA is filed under the name bacterium. Its description in RNAcentral is "tRNA-Ser". It matches the Rfam family "tRNA". Rfam says of the family: Transfer RNA (tRNA) molecules are approximately 80 nucleotides in length. Their secondary structure includes four short double-helical elements and three loops (D, anti-codon, and T loops). The record is from RNAcentral.